CCUGCAUAGGCGCCAAACACCAGGCACCUGGUUUGGGGGACCCGGACGAUCGCCAGCUCUCGCCGAGCUCUGGCUGCGGGCUGCCGGGAGCGAGCGGCUGUCACCGCCACCGCCACCGCGGAGCUACGCGAGCGGCUCGGACCCAUGCAGGGGCUGGCUUUCCUGUUAUGCCCAGACCACAUGCAGUGAAAAUUGAGCAGAGCCCCAUCUGCAAGUGACUCCUACAUUGCUGAGAAAACUAUGACUUGAACAGAUUGGAGGCUUCACCUUCAGGAGCAGAACUUCACCAUAAUAUUGGAAGUGAAAGUCUUUUAACUGAGGGAGGAAAAUGAUGGAGCCGUUGAAGUUGUGCUCAUGGUAUAAAGUCUUCCAUGGUCUCUUCCUGCAUAACCAAUUACAGCUGGCUCUGUAAGACCAUUCUUUAGAUAUCUUAGGUCCAGAGGCUUAGAAUAACAACUCAGAGGCCAGGGGGUCCAACUUUGGUCAGAUGAGUAGGUGACAUAGAGAAAAAAGUCCUUCCUGUAAUGACAGAGGAGAUUUUAAUUUUAAACCAGCACAUGGCUACUGAGUGGCAGUGGCCCUCUUGGUAGCUAUUAAAACCUUAUAAUAAUUUUGUGUUGGGGCUAGCAGAGGCUAAAGGUACAUGAAAGAUUAUAGGGCUUUUCUCAUAUAAAUUUAUUUAUUUCUUCAACAAGUUUUAAAUGUUCUAAUUUCUGGGGAAAUAACCUUGAAAAACAAUCUCUGACUGUAGAGAUUAGAGUUGAGGGUAUAUAAAUCUCUAAUCAAAUAAACGUGCCCUAUAUAUUGAUUGAAGGAAUGACAGGUGAAAUAGAGAAUCUGAUUUCACACAGUACCCAGGCUGCAAACCUCGACCCAAGUUGGGAGCAUGAGGGUGGGAGUCCAAGAGUAGACUUCCUGGUGUCUGAAUUGAGACUUAAGGGUCAGUAGGAGUUGGCAGAUGAAGGGAGCACAGGAAGAGUACUCAGAUUAAUGUGACAAGAUGAGAAGAGAAAAUUUCAAGAAAAUUUCAGUACGAUUCAAGUGUAAACAGUUGCAUAGGUAUGUGGUGGUAGCUCAGUAUGGUUUUAAUUUGCAUUUUCCUAAUGACUAAUGAUAGAUUCUGUUCAAAACUUUUGUUCAUUUUUAAAUGAUUUUUUACUUUCAUAUUAUUAUUUUGAAGGAGUUCUUUGUUUGUCCUAGAUAUAAAAUAUUUGUCAUAUAUGUGAUUUCUGAAUAUUUCCUCCCUGUCUGUGGCUCGUCUUCAUUCUUUCAGUUGUCUCUUUCACCAAGCAAAUGUUUCUAAGUUUGAUGGAGUUCAAAUUAUCAACUUUUUCUUUUAGGGAUCACACUUUUGUUAUCGAAGGACCAUUCUGACUAACAAAAAUUACAAAGAGUUCUACUUAUGUUUUGUUUUAUAAGUUUUAUAGUUUCACAUUUUACACUUAUGUCUUUGGUCCAUUUUGAAUUAUUAUCAUUUUUUAGGUCUGAUGUAUGGGUCAUGCUUUUUUAUAUUUGUUUUACUAUUUAUUUUUUUGCAUAUGGAUGUCCAGUUAUUCUAGCACCAUUAUUCAAAAGUAACCUUUCAUUAAUAAACUGCUUUCUCAACUUUUUGGCCAUAUUUGUAGGGUUUUGUUUCUGAAUUCUUUAAUUUGAACUACUAAAUUAUGUGCCUUUUUUUGUCAAUACUACAGUGUAUUGAUAGUAUAGAUUUAUACCAUCCUGAAAUCUGUUCUUUCUCAAAAUAAUCUUGGCUAUUUUCAUCUUUUGUAUGGUUUUAAUUUGCACUUUCCUAAUAUAAACUUUAGAAUGUUUGUCAAUAUCUACAAACAUUUAUACUAGAAUUUUGAUUGAGAUUAUAUUAAAUCUAUAGAUCAAUUUUGGAAAAAUUGACAUUUUAACAAUCUCCCAAUUUCUUGAAAUUUUACAACCAAUAAACUUAGUAUAUCUCUGCAUUUAUUUAAAUUUUCUUUUACAUUGUGAGUAGUUAAAGUUUUCAGUGCAUAGAUUCAAUGCACAUUUUGUUAGAUGCACACCUAAGAAUUUCAUUUUGAAGGGACUAUUAUAAAAUACAUUGAUAUAAUCUUUGAAGUUUAUUUCAAAUUAAAAUGUACUUGGAUUCCCCCCUCCCCAGUAUUGGGGAUUAAACCCAGUAGUUCUCCAUCAUGGAGCUUCAUCCCCAGCUCUUUUUAUUUUUUAUUUUGAGACAGGGUCUUGCUAAGUUGCCCAGGCUGACCUCAAACCUGUGUUCCUCCUGCCUCAGUCUCAUGAGCAGUUGGCAUUAUAGGUGUGGGUCACUGUGUCCCAUUUGGAAUUUGCUUUAAUCCUUCUGGUAUAGUCAUACAGGCACAUAGACCCAAAAAUGAUUGUCAUCAAAGAAGAAUUUCAUAACUCAAAGAUCCCUAGAAACACAGAGAAACAGCCAGGCCCAUCAGGAUACAAAACGGACCAGGGGAGAGCAUGGCACAGAGUCUUUAUUUUGUUUUCUGUGGGAAGAAAUGGGUAAGUUAGGAUAAGCAAAUUUAAGCAAGUUUAGGAUCUGAUAGUUGAAUCAUUUCAGUGGCUCUGGGCCAUUGGAUAUUCUCCAGUUGUUCAUGCUUGGCCCUCGUUUGGCUUAGGCAGGAGAAACAUUGGCUUGGUACAUGAGCCUUAGAUAAAGGAGGUGACUGCAGGUCUGACUAGGGACUGGUUUGAUUUGCACAUAAAGGCAGGGCUCAUAGACAAGUUAUUUGUAAUUAACUAGGUCUAGGAGGGGCAGUGUCCCCCUACAGCUAACAGGGGCCCCAUCAUGUCAAAGCAUCAUAAAAUGCGGGAAAGAAGAAGUAAGAUUAAUGACUUGUUCAUUGCUAGGCUAGAAAAAAAAAUUGGUACAGGUAUGUGUUUAUAUCUUGUAUCCUGUGCUUUGCUUAACUCAUUUUAAUAUACAAAAUUAUGUUGCCUGUGAAUGGAGAAUCUUUACUUCUUGCUUUCUGACUGUAUGCCUUUUGUUUAUCUGACCUCAUCUAACUUGCUAUCCUUUCAUUUCUUGAACAUAUUUUUUAUUUUGUUUAUUAAUUAAAUAAUUUAUUAUUGUGCUUCUAAUUAUGAUAGGCAGGGUCACUGUGAUUAACACUUAUUCUUAAAGAGCAUAUAAUCUUGUGAUCAAUUAAGUGUAAUUAAAAUAUCGUGUAGACACUGA
This is a non-coding RNA of Ictidomys tridecemlineatus (thirteen-lined ground squirrel), 3175 nucleotides long. Lineage: Eukaryota; Metazoa; Chordata; Mammalia; Rodentia; Sciuridae. The record is from RefSeq and is a predicted model, not a curated record.